UGAGGAAUAUUGCACAAUGGGCGAAAGCCUGAUGCAGCGACGCCGCGUGAGCGAAGAAGUAUUUCGGUAUGUAAAGCUCUAUCAGCAGGGAAGAAAAUGACGGUACCUGACUAAGAAGCAUCGGCUAACUCCGUGCCAGCAGCCGCGGUAAUACGUAGGGGGCAAGGCGUUAUCCGGAUUUACUGGGUGUAAAGGGAGCGUAGACGGAGCAGCAAGUCUGAUGUGAAAGGCAGGGGCUCAACCCCUGGACUGCAUUGGAAACUGUUGGUCUUGAGUACCGGAGGGGUAAGCGGAAUCCUAGUGUAGCGGUGAAAUGCGUAGAUAUUAGGAGGAACACCAGUGGCGAAGACGGCUUACUGGACGGUAACUGACGUUGAGGCUCGAAAGCGUGGGGAGCAAACAGGAUUAGAUACCC
RNAcentral lists this ribosomal RNA (415 nucleotides) under uncultured bacterium. RNAcentral describes it as "bacterial SSU rRNA". It matches the Rfam family "Bacterial small subunit ribosomal RNA", at positions 355 to 787 of the family's 1533-position model. The record is from RNAcentral.